This 346-nucleotide ribosomal RNA is filed under the name Lepidosphaeria nicotiae. RNAcentral's name for it is "SSU rRNA". It matches the Rfam family "Eukaryotic small subunit ribosomal RNA", at positions 20 to 370 of the family's 1831-position model. Lineage: Eukaryota; Fungi; Ascomycota; Dothideomycetes; Pleosporales; Testudinaceae. The record is from RNAcentral.
GUAGUCAUAUGCUUGUCUCAAAGAUUAAGCCAUGCAUGUCUAAGUAUAAGCAAUUAUACCGUGAAACUGCGAAUGGCUCAUUAAAUCAGUUAUCGUUUAUUUGAUAGUACCUUACUACUUGGAUAACCGUGGUAAUUCUAGAGCUAAUACAUGCUAAAAACCCCGACUUCGGGAGGGGUGUAUUUAUUAGAUAAAAAACCAAUGCCCUUCGGGGCUCUUUGGUGAUUCAUGAUAACUUAACGGAUCGCAUGGCCUUGCGCCGGCGACGGUUCAUUCAAAUUUCUGCCCUAUCAACUUUCGAUGGUAAGGUAUUGGCUUACCAUGGUUUCAACGGGUAACGGGGAAU